This 238-nucleotide long non-coding RNA is filed under the name Elaeis guineensis (African oil palm). Its description in RNAcentral is "long non-coding RNA (EGUI_LNC034293)". Lineage: Eukaryota; Viridiplantae; Streptophyta; Magnoliopsida; Arecales; Arecaceae. The record is from RNAcentral.
UUCCUAACAUGCACGAUCACAACUUUCUAGCCACCGAUGGAUCCAAGAGUAAAGAGAAAUAAAGAACCAAAGGUUAUAUCUGGAAGCUGUUAGAGAAGAAACCGAGUUAGAGUGAGAGGAGAGAGGUUAGAGGAGGUCUGAUUGCCAGAGCCAGAGAUGCCAAGACCACGGGAUGUCAUGGGAAGAGAUGAGGGAUCACAUAAGAGAGAAACGGUGGUUCCUGAUGAGCCGGACCACA